AUGUCCACUCUGAACCGUCCCAUCUCUGUUAGAGCCAAGAUUGGCUGCAGGUUCGUGGAUCAACUUCCUUCCACGGCUGAGGGUAUGCUGGGGGGUCGUUUCUAUAAGUUUACUUAUGAAGUGGAAGAGGUGUUGGUUAGGAACCCUGUGGAAGAAGGCAAAGGGGAUACUGUGCAUAAUGACAAUGUGAACAAAUCUGAUCAGACACCCAAACGGAAAAGGGCUGAUCACGAG
Molecule: ribosomal RNA, 234 nt
Filed under: Triticum aestivum (bread wheat)
Lineage: Eukaryota; Viridiplantae; Streptophyta; Magnoliopsida; Poales; Poaceae
Description: partial small subunit ribosomal RNA
Source: RNAcentral